This is a long non-coding RNA of Manis pentadactyla (Chinese pangolin), 3399 nucleotides long. RefSeq lists it as uncharacterized. NCBI's taxonomy places the organism in Eukaryota, Metazoa, Chordata, Mammalia, Pholidota, Manidae. The record is from RefSeq and is a predicted model, not a curated record. The transcript is spliced from 3 exons.
GGCAGUCCUUUCUGCAGCACCCAGUGCCUGGGGAGCCCCUCUAAGGCUCUUCCCGUGUUCCCCAUGGACACCCUAACAGGCUGAUCACCAGCCACCCUACCUGUCAGAGGAACACACCACGGCUCAGACACAUGUGGGGACGCUCAAGACACACAGCAGGCCGUGGGCAGAGGCCCGACUGUGCCGAGGAGGGGGUGGGUGCUCACCAGGGGAGCCGCCGUCCCUUGGUCAGCUGCUCGGCUUCCUCGGGAGGGAGUUUGAGCUCAGGUGCGCUCGGGCUGGUGUGUGGAGCUGGUUGCACUCGUGCCGAGCGCUUUCUCCCCUUCCUCCUCACGCGUUUCCGGGGAGCCCUGCGCCUGGGGACCUCAGUCCCGUGGACAGUUGGCUCAUGUUCAGGCUGAGGGGGGCAGCAGGGGUAUAGUCAGUGGGAAACCCAGGUACCACCAGGACGAGGGAGGUUCGCAGCUCACCCGAGAGCCCCCAGCCCCCCGGGAUGCGAGCAAGGAGAGGCACGGGGUGCCCCCGGGGACGAGGUUCCAGGCCCUCUGGAGUGGGCCGGUCGGCCACGCUCGUGGGGCAGCCCUGGGAGGGCCCUGGCAGGUUGCCAGGUUUGGAACGGGGUCCUGGGUGUAGCCAGCCUGCCCCAGGCCCAGGGAGAUGGGGUAGGUGAGUCCAUCCACCAGCUCCUCGUCGCUCCCCAGGGUGGAGCUCUGCAAAGCCGGCGCCUGGUAGCUGCGGAGGAGGCACCCGGGGCUGCGUGGACCUCCCCGCAGGGGGCAGUGUGGGCCGCAAAGCCCGCCCCCGAGGUCAGGCGCACAGGGCCAUCUGCCUAGACAUCCAGUCCCUGGGGGAAGGAGAGGACACCCCCGGGCUCAGGACUAACAUGCGGGUGGAAGUGCCUGGUCCCAACACUCACCUCCACGUCCUGAAUGCUGCGACCAGAGCUGUGGCACUGACUCCCCCGCUAGGGGGCCACCACCUCGCAACGUGCUGCCACCCAGGAACGGCCCCCCUCCUCCCCAGCCUCCAGUCCCACCCAUGCCCCACGCCCACCGCACACACACAGGAAGGGCCGUGGGAAGAUCAGCCUGGGAUGGGUCACACUGUGGCCUGGCCCUGGAGUGGCCCGCUCUGGGCUGCCCUGUGUUACCUCGGGGCUCCUCGGGAGACACGGACAGAGGCGGUGGAGGAGGUCAAUGAGCCCGCGCCCACAGCGAGCAGCAGGACUCUCCGUCUCGGCUUCCCGGACUCCCACGCCUUCAGAAGGCUCCGCACAACAAGACCGCAUGUUGCUCUGUCGAGCGCCUCCGGUCAAUUCCGUGUCCCGCUGCGGCCGCGGUACCUCCCAGGAGCAGCCCAACGCCCCAACCUGCACAGGCAGUGUCAUGCCAGACGUUCCUCCCUAGGGACAUCCCCAGGGAUACAUGGAUGACCCCUCCAGCUCCUGGGGACUGGUGUCACGUGUGUCUGAUGCACAGACUCAGAGAUGGAGGAGUGCCAACCAGGCUUGGCACGGAGCGUGGAACAGCACGCAAGUCAGGCCGGGGUCCGGGCCUUGUGAUCUUGGGCAGGAAGAGAACAAAGAGCAUUUUCCUGAGCAAUACUUACACACUGGGUGCUUGGGGACCAAGUGAUGAAGCCCCAUGUGCAGCAGUAACUGCAAUCUGAGACACUCCGAUCACGGUGUCCAUCAUGCACUGUCAUCUCCAAGAUUCGUCCGUUUUCUGAGUAGGCCGAGUGAGUGACUUCAAUAAGGGUUUGUGGAAAUCACCACCCCCACGUCUUCCAAGGCCUUGGUGGGAACUCCAGUCUGUAACCUCUCCUGGAAGGCAGUACUGCUUUCAAUAUAUACUUCGGAGGGAGUUCUAGAGACUUGUACUUGCCCUGCCACACAGCACGAACUCCUGGCCGGCACAGUCCCCCGUGCCUAGCAAGGAGGAAGCCGGGAGCUCUGCGUCCCUGACAGCUCGGCCCUGUGGCCUCUGACACUGAAGGAGCGGCACUGCGGGCACUUGGUCGGGGUGGGGGGGGUGCUGCUCCUGAUACCAAGACCCGGUCCUCGUCCCUGAGGUCAAAUCACAAAACACAAUGACAAGGUUUUGAGGAAAGGAAAGGAGAGUUUAUUGACUUGCUAGCAAAUGAGGGAGUGGCAGGCUCCUGCCUUAGGGAACCACCUUCCUCCUGACACGCAAGCGGUCAGGGCUUUUCAAGGGGAAAUGGUAGGAGAGAGGCUGGGGUGCAGACACAUGAAGUAGCAGCUUGCAGGGGCCCAAGCAGACAUUCCCGCGCCAAUUCACUAGCGUUUUGUUUUUCUUUUCUGCUCCUCCUCAGUCCCCUGGGACAGAAUGCCUUUUGAGUCCCUUUUUUAGUGAACUUUACUGGCCUUAAUUCUCUCUCAUCCCGCUCAUAUCUAUUUUUCUGCCGAACACUCCCAAGACUGACCAGCCUCUCUGUAAACAUCCCAUAGACGUGCUGACAGGCCCCUCAGGUCUACAGUGUGUGACACCCAGGCAAGAAGCCUGGCUAUAAUUUCCAUUUUCUCCACACGAUCCUGCUCCUUUCAACAAAAAGAUGGAGGUCCUGGGUCAGCCCUUGGUCAACGUAGCUACUUGACCGGUGGUGGCAGCAAGAAUUUCUUCUCUCCCUGAGGUUCCCUUAGCUGGAGUAAGAAACAGAUUGACGUGAAACAGAUUAACAGGAGAAAAAGUAACAAAAUUUAGUUAAGUACAUACAGGGAAGCCAUAGACAUCUGUUCCACAGACAGGGUGUGGGUAAAAUUGCAAUAUUUGCAAAACUCUCUUGGCCUGGCUUUAGUGCAUGUCCGCAUCCACAGGGGUUUCCAAGGGGUGGAGAGAAGUAGUCCGUCUCCAUCAGUGGGUGAUUACGUGGGCGAGCGAGGGCUUCCCUGGACCAGAGAGCUUGGUGGGAGUAUUGGCUGUCUUCUACUGCAGCAGGAGAGAGAGAGAGAGAGAGGGAGACGCAGGGCGACUGCUUGUGGGCAAUAAACGGCUUUUGAACACUAUUUCUCCCUUUGCCUGAUUUCGCUUUCAAAGGUGUUUUGCCCUGGGAUCUCCCCUCCCUGGAGUUACGCAGGGAGAAUGAGGUCUGUGUGUCCUCCUGAACCACGGAGGAGGGGUGAGGGUCUGCAACUUCAAAGGGAAAGGGAAGUAAUUCACGGGAAUAUAAAACAGGAAACGUCUGGUAAAAUACUUGAUGGGACACAGAAACAAUGAGGGGGCAGAACGGGGAAUUUUAACAGACUAAAAUGAUACCGGGGUUCUUGUUCCCAGAGUCAAAGACUGAACUUCGCAAACACUGAUCGAGGUAGGAAAGAAAGCCAGGGAGGCUUUUAUUUAGAGAGAAAGUGGGAGAAAAGAGCUCCUGGGGCAUGCGGGGUGG